RNA transcript from Prinia subflava (tawny-flanked prinia), 4634 nucleotides. It is a transcript of the gene named FA complementation group E, with no coding region annotated. The transcript is spliced from 12 exons. NCBI's taxonomy places the organism in Eukaryota, Metazoa, Chordata, Aves, Passeriformes, Cisticolidae. The record is from RefSeq and is a predicted model, not a curated record.
GGGGACAGCGGGAGGAGCGCGGCGGGGACACCCGGGGGAGUGACCAGUGACACCCGUGAGUGUGCCCGGGACUGCCGGGGGCACGGCAGUAACCGGGGCAGUGCUUGGGGCAGGGGGAGCCCCACCAGCAGCGCGGGUUGAGCUGGGGAUGCGGGGGCUGCCGGCCACGGGGUGUUGGAGGGCACGGAGGGGCUCCUGGCUCUGACCGCAGUGACGCUCCCGCAUCCUCGGCUGGGGAGGGAGGGUAAAGGCAGCCCCCGAAGGUGAUGCUGGGGUCAGCAUCCGGGCAGGUCGUCAUUGUCCCGUGCCUCCCGAGUGUGACCCGUGUCCGGUUCUCUCCAGUGUGACCGCGGCCGUCUGUCCCGGCCGUGACCCGUGUGCGGCUCUCCCCCUUGUGUGUCCCCCGUGUCCGGCCGUGCCCCGUGUCCGGCUGUUCCCCGUGUGUGUGACCCGUGUCCGGCUAUGUCCUGUGUGUGUCCCCCGUGUCUGGCCGUGCCCCGUGUCCGGCUGUCUCCCGUGUGUGUGCCCCAUGUCCGGCUGUGCUCCAUGUGUGUGCCCCGUGUGUGUACCCCGUGUGUGUGCCCCAUGUCCGGCCGUGCCCCGUGUCCAGCCGUGCCCCGGCUGUGUGACCGUGUCCGCUGUCCCCGUGUCCCGCAGCCCCCGCCGCGCCGAUGGAGCCCCGCUGCCCGCCCUGGCUGUGGCUCUGCCCCCGGCCGUGCCGCCUCCUGCUGCACGCCCUGUGCUCCGGGCCCGCCGGGGCGGCGGCCGCGCUGCGGGUGCUGCAGCGGGGCCAGCCCGGCCAGGGACCGGCGCAGGCGUUCCCCUGGCAGGCUCUCACCGCGGCCCUGUGCGCCCAGGAGCCCUCGCUGGAGGGGCCGCAGGACACCCUGGCUGUCAAGCCACGGCUGCUGCUACUGCCUGUUCUGUGCCAGAGAAAUUUCUUCUCCCUGCUCCUCGUGGUGCAGGAUGCAGUGCCAGGGGACUGCCUUGACCGGCUGCUCCAGGCCUUGGAGCAGGAUUCCCGUGUGGAUCCCUGGGUGCAUUCACUGGAGAAUCUGCUCCGGCAGGGACUGAGGGCACAGGAGGGCUCCCCACGUCCCACUGCCCUGUCUUCUGCAUGCCAGCAGCAGCUCAGGGGCCUGUGCCAGAAAAUUGCCCAGAAGAAACCAGAGGGGCAAAGAAAAUUGAACUGGUGCUUCAGUGAGCAGCCUGGUGCCCCUGAGUCUCAAGGUGGGAAGCGCAGUAGAGUGUCGGGGGAGAGCCUGGAGUUGGACAGUGAGAUAGAGGAGAAGAGGCUGUUGCUGGAGGAGGUGGCAUUUGAGCCCCUGGGGCCCCAGGAGUGUGCAGAUGUGGCAGGAGUGGAAGAGGAAGUGCCCGAGGAGCCUUCAGAGGACACAUCUGCUCAGAGCACAGAUAAGGCUGCUCCAGACAGCUCCCAGCAGGAUGCAGUGGGGGAGCUCAGGAAGAUUUCCCAGACAGAGCUGGCAGCGGAGGUCCAGUCCUUUGUCCAGAUGCAUGGACAGAGGCUGAAAAUGCUGCUGCUGCAGGAGUCCAGUCACUCCGAGCUGCGCACCCCACCCGAGCUGAGCAUCCUGAACAACUGCUCCCCCAGCCAGCUCGAGGGGCUGUGCUCCUUCCUCCAGCUCUCCACGUGCCCCGAGCCCCUCCUGGUGCGUUUCUGCAGCUGGCUGCUGGCUCUGAGCCCUGACCUCAGCUACAGCAGCGCAGCCACCCUGGCACAGCAGCUCUUCCUCAGGCGAGUCCUGUCCCUCGCCCAGCCGCCUUCCCGACACCUCAUGGCUGCCCUCACCUCCUUUUGCUCCAAGUAUUCCCAUCCCUUGUGCCGUGUGCUGGUGGCUGCCGUGCUGCAGGAGCCAGGGGAAGGUGCCGAGCAGACCAAGCUGAUGUGUGAGCUGGUGGAGGAGUGCCUGGAGCCACACUCUGUGCAGCUGCUGCUAAGCCAGGUCUUGGAGGUGCCUUUGUCUGAGAAACUCCUGCCAGUACUGCAGGCCGUGCUGGGGCGCCAGGAGGUGCUGCCCGCUGAGCUCUUGGAUCUGCUGGUGCUGACUCUGUGCCAGCAGGCCCCAGCCUUCGCCACCUCGCUCAGCUUCGCCCAGCUGGUGACAGCCGUGCUCACGGUGUACCAGAGCCAGGUCAGCCCAGCUCAGCGGAGCAGCCUGGCUGCUGUCCUGGACCGGAGCAGCGCGGCGCUGAAGAAAUCACUGCAGGCUGUGCUGGAAGGGGCCAGGUGACCACCAAGAGGAAUCGUGAGGUGACAGCUUCCUUGUGUGGAGGACACUCAUUGCACAGCAGCAGCCACAGCCACCCUCACUGGGUUCCCCCUGGUGAGGCGUUUCUGUGUCUCUUCUGCCUUGGGCCUGCCAUGCUCAGCAAGGUGACCUGGCCUUCCUGUGAUGGGGGCAGACAGGACACAACCCAGGGAGGAGCUUCUGAGUUUUUACUGCCCAAAACAUCACUGAGCGUUGAUUUGAGGCUGCGUGAAGCUGAAAAUUCUGGACUUAGUUCACUAUCUUGAUUUUACCUCAGCUCAUUCCAAGGCACGAGCUCUGUGCACAUCCACAUUCCUCCCCAACAGCCAAACCAGUUUCGGAGUGGUGCAGGCUGGGCUGCUGCUUUGUGUAUCUGAUCUGCUGGGAUUUACAGAUCUCUGGGUGCAGGAGAGUGGGAUUUAGCUGAAUUCCAGCUGAAUUUAGCUGGAAAAUUUCUGUGUUCUGCUUUAAAUCCACCUCUCUUUCCUGUUUGCCUGGCCUGUGAGGGGCCUGGCUGUGUGUGGCGCAUUUCUGGUGAUGGUGACACUACUCACUGCCCUAAAAGAAAGUGCUUGUAUGGCAUGACUCUGCUCAAAAUUCUGUUCUGUAUUCUUGAAAGUACCCACUGCAAACCUCAUCUAGGCACCUCCUGGUCUGAGAACUGGGAAGAACAGAGUGGAGACUCAGGCAGACAGGACUAGGGUUUCAAUGGAGGUUUUGAAGCAUUGCAUACUUCAGGAGCUAUGUAAAAAUCCAUAAACAUCUACAAAGUGAGAAUUCAAACAUGCAGGUGUGACGUGUGACUGCUUCAGCUUUGCUCAUUAAUGUUUAGAUCCCAGCCAGAGGAAGGAAACUCUGAAGCAUUAGGUGACGCUCCUAAGGCUGAGAGCACAGAUUUCUUUAUGUAAGACUCUCUUAAGCUAUUUUAGGUGACAGUGGACUGAUGAGGCUUCAAAGUCCGCAUUAGCUGGAGGAUAGAAGCCUCCAGGGAGCCAGAUUGUUGAUGUGUUUGCAUUCCAGUGAGUUAGUGGCUGAGUAUAGUGAAGCUAUUGUAGGGCUGCCCAAAACACGACAUAAAUAGAAAUUGUGCCCUGAUCAUCAAGGUCUAAGCCUGCUCUUGUGGCUUUAUUAGGUAGCAGGCUCUGAUCUUUGCAGUUUCCCUGCAGAGCUUCUACCAAGUGACCUCGGUGUCAUUGUCCCCGGUGCUCUGGCUGUGGCUGGCGGUCACAUAGAGGUGGCCACUGGCUUGUGGCAAGAGCCUUCUUAGCCCUGGUUUGGCUCUUGGCUGCAGCUUAUCGUGUGCUGUGGGUUCCUCUGAGGUGUAGUUAACUCCUCAUGCAGAUAACAAUCACAGAAGGAGAACUGGGAGCAAACCCUGGGGACGCUGCACAUACUGGGGGAAGGCUGCUUGUUUAUAGGUUGGCAGCACCUACACAGAAAACUUUACUUUUGACUCCUCUUGACCCUUUCAAGAGCUUUAGAAUCCAUCCUGAAGAGCGCAGGGAGGUGGAUGCAGCAUAAAACAUCAGUCAGAUUUUAUGGUUCAGCAGAAUCUUGGCCAAGGGUGGCGGCAGUGCCAGGACUGGCUCUGUCCUUGUCCUGAUUUAAGAGUGGUGGUGGUGAAGGAAUGGUCUGAAGCUUUAUCUGAGACCUUUCCUAGGCUGGAGGUAGAAGGCAGCGUGUGAUUUUCAGCCAGUUGUGCUUAUUAUACUUGGCAGUGGCUCCUUACCUGCUUCCUCUUCUGUUUAUAGGUUUAACUUCACAUUAUAGAGGGGAAUUCCCUUUUUGGUCUAGUAGUUCUUGGGGGUUUUUUGAAGGAAAUUCAUCAUAUGCAAUUGCAUGGCUUGUCUGUCCACUCUGCUGCUUCCUCACCCUCCACAGGGAUUUUUGAACCACUUUAAAGCCAAGAUGAUUCCUCCACCCCCCAGGUGCCUUCGUGGGGCUGUGGUCAGGCAGCAGAGACCCUCUCUGGGGUGAGCAGGGGUGUGGGGUCCGUGGAUGUUAAAUACCAGAGCCAUGUAGGAGCCUUGUUGGAAAGGGCUGAAACUCACUGGCUUUCCUGAAAAUGUCCUGUAUCCCUCCCCCAAGGGGCUGCCCCUCUCCAAAGAGGAGCUCCAGGUUGUUGCUGUAUCCCCUCUUGCAGCAGUUCCAGGGGUCACCUCACUUCUCCCUGGAGGUAGCUGCGUGUCCAGGGACAGCCUGCUGAUCUCAUGUGCAAUCCCCAACACGCUGAUGCAGUUCUGCCUGGAAACCUGGCGCUGUGACACCCAAAUGUGAGGCUGAGCUGCUCUGAGGAAGCCUCAGGAGUAUUUAUUUUUUUCACUUGGGAUUUAAAACUGAAUAAAAAGAGCCAUUUUCAUUCUU